GAUGAACGCUGGCGGCGUGCCUAAUACAUGCAAGUCGAGCGAACAGACGAGGAGCUUGCUCCUCUGACGUUAGCGGCGGACGGGUGAGUAACACGUGGAUAACCUACCUAUAAGACUGGGAUAACUUCGGGAAACCGGAGCUAAUACCGGAUAGUAUAUUGAACCGCAUGGUUCAAUAGUGAAAGACGGUUUUGCUGUCACUUAUAGAUGGAUCCGCGCCGCAUUAGCUAGUUGGUAAGGUAACGGCUUACCAAGACAACGAUGCGUAGCCGACCUGAGAGGGUGAUCGGCCACACUGGAACUGAGACACGGUCCAGACUCCUACGGGAGGCAGCAGUAGGGAAUCUUCCGCAAUGGGCGAAAGCCUGACGGAGCAACGCCGCGUGAGUGAUGAAAGUCUUCGGAUCGUAAAACUCUGUUAUUAGGGAAGAACAAAUGUGUAAGUAACUAUGCACGUCUUGACGGUACCUAAUCAGAAAGCCACGGCUAACUACGUG
This 497-nucleotide ribosomal RNA is filed under the name uncultured bacterium. RNAcentral's name for it is "partial 16S ribosomal RNA". It matches the Rfam family "Bacterial small subunit ribosomal RNA", at positions 28 to 507 of the family's 1533-position model. The record is from RNAcentral.